CAGCAGCCGCGGGAAUACGGAGGGGGCUAGCGUUGUUCGGAAUUACUGGGCGUAAAGCGCACGUAGGCAGCUUGGUAAGUUAGAGGUGAAAGCCUGGAGCUCAACUCCAGAAUUGCCUUUAAGACUGCCGAGCUAGCAGGUGAGAGAGGUAAGUGGAAUUCCGAGUGUAGAGGUGAAAUUCGUAGAUAUUCGGAAGAACACCAGUGGCGAAGGUGGCUCACUGGACCAGUAUUGACGCUGAGGUGCGAAAGCGUGGGGAGCAAACAGGAUUAGAUACCCCUGUAGUCCCUGUCUCUUAACA
This 301-nucleotide ribosomal RNA is filed under the name uncultured bacterium. Its description in RNAcentral is "partial 16S ribosomal RNA". It matches the Rfam family "Bacterial small subunit ribosomal RNA", at positions 509 to 808 of the family's 1533-position model. The record is from RNAcentral.